RNAcentral lists this ribosomal RNA (715 nucleotides) under uncultured bacterium. RNAcentral describes it as "bacterial SSU rRNA". It matches the Rfam family "Bacterial small subunit ribosomal RNA", at positions 777 to 1500 of the family's 1533-position model. The record is from RNAcentral.
AUUAGAUACCCUGGUAGUCCACGCAGUAAACGAUGAAUGCUAAUUGUCCGGAGGGAUUGACCUCUGGGUGAUACAGCGAAAGCGUUAAGCAUUCCACCUGGGGAGUACGCCGGCAACGGUGAAACUCAAAGGAAUUGACGGGGGCCCGCACAAGCGGAGGAACAUGUGGUUUAAUUCGAUGAUACGCGAGGAACCUUACCCGGGCUCAAACGCGACAGGGAUACUUUUGAAAGGAGGUAGUCCUACGGGACCUGUCGCGAGGUGCUGCAUGGUUGUCGUCAGCUCGUGCCGUGAGGUGUCGGCUUAAGUGCCAUAACGAGCGCAACCCCCACCGACAGUUGCCAACAGGUCAAGCUGUGCACUCUGUCGGGACUGCCGGCGCAAGCUGCGAGGAAGGCGGGGAUGACGUCAAAUCAGCACGGCCCUUACGUCCGGGGCGACACACGUGUUACAAUGGCGGCCACAGCGGGAAGCCAGGCGGCGACGCCGAGCGGAACCCGAAAUCCACUCUCAGUUCGGAUCGGAGUCUGCAACCCGACUCCGUGAAGCUGGAUUCGCUAGUAAUCGCGCAUCAGCCAUGGCGCGGUGAAUACGUUCCCGGGCCUUGUACACACCGCCCGUCAAGCCAUGGGAGCCGAGGGCGCUUGAAGUGCGUCGCCGCAAGGCGCGCCCUAGAGCGAAAUCGGUGACUGGGGCUAAGUCGUAACAAGGUACC